CAAUAGCGUAUAUUAAAGUUGUUGCAGUUAAAAAGCUCGUAGUUGAAUUUCGGGUCCCCGCGCUCGGCGCUUCAUUGUGCCGUCGUGGUGUCCCUCCUCGCCGUCAGGCGUCCUUUACUGUGAAAAAAUUAGAGUGUUCAAAGCAGGCAAUCGCUUGAAUACAUUAGCAUGGAAUAAUAAGAUAGGAUCUUGUCUAUUUUGUUGGUUGCGGACAAUGAUAAUGAUUAAUAGGGAUAGUUGGGGGUGUCCGUAUUGAGCUGUCAGAGGUGAAAUUCUUGGAUUUGCUCAAGACGAACUACUGCGAAAGCAUUUGCCAAGGAUGUUUUCAUUGA
This 332-nucleotide ribosomal RNA is filed under the name uncultured eukaryote. RNAcentral's name for it is "partial 18S ribosomal RNA". It matches the Rfam family "Eukaryotic small subunit ribosomal RNA", at positions 592 to 976 of the family's 1831-position model. The record is from RNAcentral.